AGCAGCCGCGGUAAUUCCAGCUCCAAUAGCGUAUAUUAAAGUUGUUGCAGUUAAAAAGCUCGUAGUUGAACUUCGGGGUUCACCCAUUGGUCAGGCUUAAUUGUCUGCACUGGUGAGAUGAGUCUCUACCUUCUGAGGAACUUUCAUGCCAUUUAUUUGGUGUGAUUGGAAAUCAGGACUGUUACUUUGAAAAAAUUAGAGUGUUUAAAGCAGGCUAACGUCUGAAUACAUUAGCAUGGAAUAAUGAAAUAGGACGGACUGAUUCUAUUUCGUUGGUUUCUAGGAUCACCGUAAUGAUUAAUAGGGAUAGUUGGGGGCAUUAGUAUUCAAUUGUCAGAGGUGAAAUUCUUGGAUUUAUUGAAGACUAACUACUGCGAAAGCAUUUGCCAAGGAUGUUUUCAUUAAUCAAGAACGAAAGUUAGGGGAUCGAAGACAAUCAGAUACCGUCGUAGUCUUAACCAUAAACUAUGCCGACUAGGGAUCGGACGAAGUUAAUUUUAUUAAUGACGCGUUCGGUACC
This 520-nucleotide ribosomal RNA is filed under the name uncultured Diversispora. RNAcentral describes it as "SSU rRNA". It matches the Rfam family "Eukaryotic small subunit ribosomal RNA", at positions 569 to 1087 of the family's 1831-position model. The record is from RNAcentral. Lineage: Eukaryota; Fungi; Glomeromycota; Glomeromycetes; Diversisporales; Diversisporaceae.